This 467-nucleotide ribosomal RNA is filed under the name uncultured bacterium. RNAcentral's name for it is "partial 16S ribosomal RNA". It matches the Rfam family "Bacterial small subunit ribosomal RNA", at positions 29 to 507 of the family's 1533-position model. The record is from RNAcentral.
ACGCACGCUGGCGGCGUACUUAACACAUGCAAGUCGCACGGAAAGGCCCUGCUUUUGUGGGGUGCUCGAGUGGCGAACGGGUGAGUAACACGUGAGUAACCUGCCCUUGACUUUGGGAUAACUUCAGGAAACUGGGGCUAAUACCGGAUAGGAGCUCCUGCUGCAUGGUGGGGGUUGGAAAGUUUCGGCGGUUGGGGAUGGACUCGCGGCUUAUCAGCUUGUUGGUGGGGUAGUGGCUUACCAAGGCUUUGACGGGUAGCCGGCCUGAGAGGGUGACCGGCCACAUUGGGACUGAGAUACGGCCCAGACUCCUACGGGAGGCAGCAGUGGGGAAUAUUGCACAAUGGGCGGAAGCCUGAUGCAGCAACGCCGCGUGCGGGAUGACGGCCUUCGGGUUGUAAACCGCUUUCGCCUGUGACGAAGCGUGAGUGACGGUAAUGGGUAAAGAAGCACCGGCUAACUACGUG